This 399-nucleotide ribosomal RNA is filed under the name uncultured bacterium. RNAcentral describes it as "bacterial SSU rRNA". It matches the Rfam family "Bacterial small subunit ribosomal RNA", at positions 64 to 507 of the family's 1533-position model. The record is from RNAcentral.
GAACGCGUGUAGCAAUACACGAGUGGCGCACGGGUGAGUAACGCGUGGAUAUCUGCCUUUUGGUUCGGAAUAACCCCGGGAAACUGGGGCUAAUACCGGAUGGUUCCUACGGGAUAAAGAUUUAUCGCCAAAAGAUGAGUCCGCGUCCGAUUAGCUAGUUGGUGAGGUAAUGGCUCACCAAGGCGACGAUCGGUAGCUGGUCUGAGAGGACGAUCAGCCACACUGGGACUGAGACACGGCCCAGACUCCUACGGGAGGCAGCAGUGGGGAAUAUUGGACAAUGGGGGCAACCCUGAUCCAGCCAUGCCGCGUGAGUGAUGAAGGCCUUCGGGUUGUAAAGCUCUUUUGGCGGGGACGAUGAUGACGGUACCCGAAGAAUAAGCCCCGGCUAACUUCGUG